RNAcentral lists this ribosomal RNA (438 nucleotides) under uncultured bacterium. Its description in RNAcentral is "partial 16S ribosomal RNA". It matches the Rfam family "Bacterial small subunit ribosomal RNA", at positions 339 to 795 of the family's 1533-position model. The record is from RNAcentral.
CUACGGGGGGCUGCAGUGAGGAAUAUUGCACAAUGGGGGGAACCCUGAUGCAGCAACGCCGCGUGGAGGAUGACGCAUUUCGGUGUGUAAACUCCUUUUAUAUGUCAAGAAAAUGACGGUAGCAUAUGAAUAAGCACCGGCUAACUCCGUGCCAGCAGCCGCGGUAAUACGGAGGGUGCAAGCGUUACUCGGAAUCACUGGGCGUAAAGGACGCGUAGGCGGGUUGGAAAGUCAGGUGUGAAAUCCUAAAGCUUAACUGUAGAACUGCACUUGAAACUUCUAAUCUAGAGUAUGGGAGGGGAGAUGGAAUUAGUGGUGUAGGGGUAAAAUCCGUAGAUAUCACUAGGAAUACCUAAAGCGAAGGCGAUCUCCUGGAACAUUACUGACGCUAAGGCGUGAAAGCGUGGGGAGCAAACAGGAUUAGAUACCCGUGUAGUC